AUUGAACGCUGGCGGCAGGCCUAACACAUGCAAGUCGAACGAGUGGCGGACGGGUGAGUAAUGUCUGGGAAACUGCCCGAUGGAGGGGGAUACCUACUGGAAACGGUACCUAAUACCGCAUACCAUCGGAUGUGCCCAGAUGGGAUUAGCUAGUGGGUGGGGUAACGGCUCACCUAGGCGACGAUCCCUAGCUGGUCUGAGAGGAUGACCAGUCACACGGGAACUGAGACACGGACCAGACUCCGACGGGAGGCAGCAUUGGGGAAUAUUGCACAAUGGGCGCAAGCCUAAUGCAGCCAUGCCGCGUGUAUGAAGAAGGCCUUCGGGGUGUAAAGUACUUUCAGCGAGGAGGCGUUACUCGCAGAAGAAGCACCGGCUAACUCCGUGCCAGCAGCCGCGGUAAUAC
RNAcentral lists this ribosomal RNA (406 nucleotides) under uncultured bacterium. RNAcentral describes it as "partial 16S ribosomal RNA". It matches the Rfam family "Bacterial small subunit ribosomal RNA", at positions 30 to 526 of the family's 1533-position model. The record is from RNAcentral.